ACUCCUACGGGAGGCAGCAGUGGGAAUAUUGCACAAUGGGCGCAAGCCUGAUGCAGCCAUGCCGCGUGUGUGAAGAAGGCUCUAGGGUUGUAAAGCACUUUCAAUUGGGAGAAAAGCUACUGGUUAAUAACCUUUAGCCUUGAUGUUACCUUUAGAAGAAGCACCGGCUAACUCCGUGCCAGCAGCCGCGGUAAUACGGAGGGUGCAAGCGUUAAUCGGAAUUACUGGGCGUAAAGCGCGCGUAGGCGGUUUGGUCAGUUGGAUGUGAAAGCCCCGGGCUUAACCUGGGAACUGCAUUCAAUACUGCCAGACUCGAGUACGAGAGAGGGGGGUAGAAUUUCUAGUGUAGCGGUGAAAUGCGUAGAUAUUAGAAGGAAUACCAGUGGCGAAGGCGGCCCCCUCGGUUCGUAUACUGACGCUGAGGUGCGAAAG
This 432-nucleotide ribosomal RNA is filed under the name uncultured bacterium. Its description in RNAcentral is "bacterial SSU rRNA". It matches the Rfam family "Bacterial small subunit ribosomal RNA", at positions 335 to 759 of the family's 1533-position model. The record is from RNAcentral.